Molecule: ribosomal RNA, 607 nt
Filed under: Lenzites betulinus
Lineage: Eukaryota; Fungi; Basidiomycota; Agaricomycetes; Polyporales; Polyporaceae
Description: eukaryotic LSU rRNA
Rfam family: 5.8S ribosomal RNA (bases 200-353)
Source: RNAcentral
GGCAUCGAGCUUGACGAGUUGUAGCUGGCCUUCCGAGGCAUGUGCACGCCCUGCUCAUUCCACUCUACACCUGUGCACUUACUGUGGGUCUCAGGCGAGCGUCGGUCGCUUCGCGGCGUCGUCGUUCAACUGGGCUCACGUUUUACUACAAACUAUUAAAGUAUCAGAAUGUCUACUGCGAAUUAACGCAUUUAAAUACAACUUUCAGCAACGGAUCUCUUGGCUCUCGCAUCGAUGAAGAACGCAGCGAAAUGCGAUAAGUAAUGUGAAUUGCAGAAUUCAGUGAAUCAUCGAAUCUUUGAACGCACCUUGCGCUCCUUGGUAUUCCGAGGAGCAUGCCUGUUUGAGUGUCAUGAAAUUCUCAACCUAACGAGUCUUUGCGGGCUCGGUAGGCUUGGACUUGGAGGUUCUUGUCGGCCUAACGGUCGGCUCCUCUUAAAUGCAUUAGCUCGGUUCCUUGCGGAUCGGCUCACGGUGUGAUAAUUGUCUACGCCGCGACCGUUGAAGCGUUUUGGCCGGCUUCUAAUCGUCUCGUUGGAGACACUACUCUUUAUGACCUUCUGACCUCAAAUCAGGUAGGACUACCCGCUGAACUUAAGCAUAUCUA